RNAcentral lists this ribosomal RNA (1346 nucleotides) under uncultured bacterium. Its description in RNAcentral is "partial 16S ribosomal RNA". It matches the Rfam family "Bacterial small subunit ribosomal RNA", at positions 28 to 1381 of the family's 1533-position model. The record is from RNAcentral.
GACGAACGCUGGCGGCGUGCUUAACACAUGCAAGUCGAACGGAAAGGCCCUGCUUUUGUGGGGUGCUCGAGUGGCGAACGGGUGAGUAACACGUGAGUAACCUGCCCUUGACUUUGGGAUAACUUCAGGAAACUGGGGCUAAUACCGGAUAGGAGCUCCUGCUGCAUGGUGGGGGUUGGAAAGUUUCGGCGGUUGGGGAUGGACUCGCGGCUUAUCAGCUUGUUGGUGGGGUAGUGGCUUACCAAGGCUUUGACGGGUAGCCGGCCUGAGAGGGUGACCGGCCACAUUGGGACUGAGAUACGGCCCAGACUCCUACGGGAGGCAGCAGUGGGGAAUAUUGCACAAUGGGCGGAAGCCUGAUGCAGCAACGCCGCGUGCGGGAUGACGGCCUUCGGGUUGUAAACCGCUUUCGCCUGUGACGAAGCGUGAGUGACGGUAAUGGGUAAAGAAGCACCGGCUAACUACGUGCCAGCAGCCGCGGUGAUACGUAGGGUGCGAGCGUUGUCCGGAUUUAUUGGGCGUAAAGGGCUCGUAGGUGGUUGAUCGCGUCGGAAGUGUAAUCUUGGGGCUUAACCCUGAGCGUGCUUUCGAUACGGGUUGACUUGAGGAAGGUAGGGGAGAAUGGAAUUCCUGGUGGAGCGGUGGAAUGCGCAGAUAUCAGGAGGAACACCAGUGGCGAAGGCGGUUCUCUGGGCCUUUCCUGACGCUGAGGAGCGAAAGCGUGGGGAGCGAACAGGCUUAGAUACCCUGGUAGUCCACGCUGUAAACGGUGGGUACUAGGUGUGGGGUCCAUUCCACGGGUUCCGUGCCGUAGCUAACGCUUUAAGUACCCCGCCUGGGGAGUACGGCCGCAAGGCUAAAACUCAAAGGAAUUGACGGGGCCCCGCACAAGCGGCGGAGCAUGCGGAUUAAUUCGAUGCAACGCGUAGAACCUUACCUGGGUUUGACAUGGAUCGGGAGUGCUCAGAGAUGGGUGUGCCUCUUUUGGGGCCGGUUCACAGGUGGUGCAUGGCUGUCGUCAGCUCGUGUCGUGAGAUGUUGGGUUAAGUCCCGCAACGAGCGCAACCCUUGUUCACUGUUGCCAGCACGUUAUGGUGGGGACUCAGUGGAGACCGCCGGGGUCAACUCGGAGGAAGGUGGGGAUGACGUCAAGUCAUCAUGCCCCUUAUGUCCAGGGCUUCACGCAUGCUACAAUGGCUGGUACAGAGAGUGGCGAGCCUGUGAGGGUGAGCGAAUCUCGGAAAGUCGGUCUCAGUUCGGAUUGGGGUCUGCAACUCGACCUCAUGAAGUCGGAGUCGCUAGUAAUCGCAGAUCAGCAACGCUGCGGUGAAUACGUUCCCAGGGCU